CAACGUGCAAGGCCGAUCUAGAAUCCGACGAAACAUCCUGGAGUAUGACUAGAAAUGGGCAGAAAGAGAUAGAGUCUGAGAAGAGGGCAGAGCACCCGAGGGCUUGGAGGACCAUUUGAUGAACUUGUGCCCUUAGGGAAAGUACCCAGCAGGAAGGAGGGAGUUGGGGACGUGGCAAAACCAGAGCCCUGGAAGGGAAGGGCCCAAAGGAGCAGGGCAGCAUCAGCGUCCCCUCCUCCUCCUGCCCCUCUCCCUCCCCCUCCCCAGCUUGGCAGGUGCCACCUGGGAGCCGGAGAGUGAUCGCGAGCCCGCUAGUUGGGAGCAGUGGGGGACGAUUCUCACCCCGACUCACACGGAGGCUGGAGACGGAGAGGUUUAAUUGGUAUCUCAUUAACCAUGCAAAUUAAUCUGAGGAAGAUUGCCAUUUUUGCCAUGCCCAUCUGACUGAUGUAUGAGCACCAAAUGUUGGAACAGUGGUUUCCCUAAGCCUUCUCAGCUGGUUAUUCCUCACUGCCCUGUUCUGCCUCAGGUCUUGGCCUUUCCCCAACCACAUCUAAGAAGGACGUUGCAAUCAUCUGUUUGGAAGCAUUUCUGAGCCAGUCAGAUGUCAUCCUAGAGAUUUUCUCCAGACCAGCGGAAAGCCUAUAUGUCAUUGAUGGAUAACAUUGGUAUUAUAGAGGGAAAGAAAAAAAAGAUCGUAUUUGUACCAAUGGAGGAUGAGAGUGGGCCUAGAGAAGGUGUGGAAAUAGAACUAGAAAUGGAUGGCAGAAAUGGAAGCACUCCCUCAGAACAUCCCUGAUGAUCCCCUAUAAAGUCCCGCCCACCCAUCUAUCCACUUCUCCCCCCACCAUUGGAUAAUGACAAAAUUCCCUCUGAAGGAGUCCUACUCAGCUGCUCCCACAAAUCUCCAUCCCUUCAUUGUUCUAUCAGCUGGAGCUCUAUGGGUAUAGUAUUACUAGAACAGCCUGGUCCUCCUACCUUCUUGAUGUUGGUGUUUCCACUGCCUCUCCCAGGCUUCCUCACAAGCCUGGGACCCUUCUAGGGUUUGAGGUGAGACGAGAGCCAAUCAGGGAGGAGGACAGUUCAUCCCUCCCUGAGUCUGAGAGGUGAGUAGCACUGAGCUCGGGGUAGGGUCAUCCUGAUUAGACCUAGCUGUGGGUAGAGGGGCCCUGGCUAGACUUUUAGCACAAGGUAUAAGGCAAAAGUUUUACACUGGCUCUGGCCCAGGAAGAGGGGUGAGAAGCAAGAUUGAAGAUACUUCCAGAGGAGAGACUUGCUUUCUUUGGGGAACUUCUAUGACUGUUGCUUGAUAGGGUACCAGCAUCAUGUCCUGACAUUCUUUCCUUGUCUCCUUGUUUCACUUGGCUGCUUCUAGAGUUCUAUCCAAAGAAACUCCUUUUCCUCAAAGCUGUUUCCAGGCCUGGCCUUCAUCUCCUUUCCUGGAUACCCUCUUCUUUUCCUACUUAAAUUCUUCUAAUCUUCAAGACAAGUUCAAGACUUAUUCCUUCUAAGAAGCUUUUUCUGACUGCACCAGCCUACAGUGAUCUCACCUUGCUUUCUGAAAUCUAAUAUUUAUUUAAUCCACAUUUAUUGAGGACCCAUUAUGCUCAAGGGACUGUGUUGGAUGCUGUGGCAGGCACAAGAGUAAUACAAUAUGGUCUCUGCCUUUAUGGACCUUAUAGAUCUGGGAUAAAACAUGUGCACAAAUAUAAUACAAUGUAUCAUGUGAUAAUUAAUUGAGAGAUAUACAAGGUGCUAUGAAAAGCAGGAUCAUCUGUCAUGUAGUAGUGAGUCAUUUGGACAGUCAUCAAUCUUUCAGGUGCUUACUAUGUACCAGACACCAGGCUAAGUGCCGGGGAUACAAAGAAAGGUCAAAAAAAAAUAGUUACUACCUUUGGGGAAUGUACAUUCUCAUGGGGGAGACAACAUGUAAAUAGAUAGGUAUGCACAUGAUCUAUGUAGAAUAGAUGAAAUGUAAUCUGAAGAGGGAAGGCAUUAGCAGCUAGGAGGAAUGGGAAAGGGCUCCUGCAGCAGGUGGACUUUGGGCUAAGGCUUAAAGCCUGGGAAACUAAGAGCUGGAGGUGGGGAUGGGGGUGGGGCAGAGCAUUCCAGGCAUGUGGGAGAGCCAGUGGAAAGUCACGGAGACAUGUCUGGAUCAUAGAGUGCAUGGAGGGGAGGAAGGUAGAAAGAGGACUAAAAAGAUAAAGAAAGAGGGUACAUGACCCUAGUACCUACAGCAAUGGCUUAUGGUGUAAUCAUAAGAAAAGCGAACCUCAUACUGUAAGUUGUGAUUAUUACAAUAUUAGUGUUUAUCUUUGUAUACAUACAUUAUAUCACCUCUCUAUAAGUUCCUUGCAGGGGUGGGGGACCUGUGAC
Trichosurus vulpecula (common brushtail) is the source of this 2376-nucleotide long non-coding RNA. RefSeq lists it as uncharacterized. The transcript has 4 exons. NCBI's taxonomy places the organism in Eukaryota, Metazoa, Chordata, Mammalia, Diprotodontia, Phalangeridae. The record is from RefSeq and is a predicted model, not a curated record.